AUGUGUAUGAAAAAUGCAAUGAACAGCCAGCGUUCAGGGAUUGUUGUUCCAUUUGUGGAAGAUGGAAGAUCAUGUGACAACCAAGGCACAAAACAGGAAGUGUUUCGGUGUGGCCAUGCCGCUCAGACUGCAGUUGCAUGAUGGGAGCAAGUGACUAUCCAACUCCACCUUGUGACUUUGGCCUUUUUUUUAAAUCACUAAAUGAUGUGUGCCCCCGAUGCCCUGAGUUACAGAUUAGUUUUACUGCUUUAUACAAGAAGAGGUUCCCCCCCCCCCCACACCAAAUAAAGCUUCCUUUUGAUAAAGGAACUUUCCGCCCUCUGUUACCCGGUGAGCCCACGCCAGUGUAAUCUUUUUUUCAAAUGAUAUUGCAACACAACGUGAGGCUGUGGAACAGCCAAUGAAAGCCGAGAUAUCGGUCAUUUACAAAGACGCCUUUCUGGCUGAUGGCUUAGUCAGAAAAGCAGGAAAUGAAAGCAUGUUCCAGAAUGGCUUCGCUGCACAACUCCAUAAAACAUCAACAAAGGACAGUUUUUUUUUUUAAAUCUGUUAGGUCCGAUAACACCCGGAUGUUCUUUAAAAGGUAUUUUGUAAACCCUAUUCAAAGCUCUAAUACAAUAAAUAAAUCCGAAACCUUCAUACAC
This is a long non-coding RNA of Lepisosteus oculatus (spotted gar), 644 nucleotides long. RefSeq lists it as uncharacterized. Lineage: Eukaryota; Metazoa; Chordata; Actinopteri; Semionotiformes; Lepisosteidae. The record is from RefSeq and is a predicted model, not a curated record.